CCUACGGGUGGCAGCAGUAGGGGAUAUUGCUCAAUGGGGGAAACCCUGAAGCAGCAACGCCGCGUGGAGGAUGAAGGUUUUCGGAUUGUACACUCCUUUUGUUAGAGAAGAUAAUGACGGUAUCUAACGAAUAAGCACCGGCUAACUCCGUGCCAGCAGCCGCGGUAAUACGUAGGGUGCAAGCGUUUAUCAGAAUCACUGGGCGUACAGAGCGCGUAGGCGGGAUAGCAAGUCAGAUGUGAAAUCCUAUUGCUUAAACAAAGAACUGCAAUUGAAACUGUAGUUCUAGAGUAUGGGAGAGGUAGGUGGAAUUCUUGGUGUAGGGGUAAAAUCCGUAGAGAUCAAGAGGAAUACGAGUUGCGAAGGCGACCUGCUAGAACAUAACUGACGCUGAUGCGCGAAAGCGUGGGGAGCAAACAGGAUUAGAUACCCUGGUAGUC
RNAcentral lists this ribosomal RNA (440 nucleotides) under uncultured bacterium. RNAcentral's name for it is "partial 16S ribosomal RNA". It matches the Rfam family "Bacterial small subunit ribosomal RNA", at positions 338 to 795 of the family's 1533-position model. The record is from RNAcentral.